Molecule: long non-coding RNA, 2020 nt
Organism: Gallus gallus (chicken)
Lineage: Eukaryota; Metazoa; Chordata; Aves; Galliformes; Phasianidae
Source: Ensembl
CCAGCCUGGCCUUGAAUGCCUGUUGAUUUUAUUGCUAGUAGGUGGGACAGAGGUUGCCUGCUAAAGGAUGUGACUUUUUUUUUUACAGACAAAUAUGAAGCUGAUCAUUAUUUUUUCAUCUCAUGUAAGCCAAUGUAAUUGAAAAUAUUCUGCAUUUUUAACACUUUUUUUUUUUUUUUUUUUUGCAUUGAAUGUUGAAAAAUAAGUCAGGAACAUGGGAGAACACAUUCAGAUGGGUGCCCUGGCAGAGCUGCCAAGUGACUAUAGCGAUGUGACUUCGUGCUGUUCCAAGGUUGUCAUCCAACUUCUACAGCAAGAAAUCUGAACUACAGAAGUAUAGCUGAAAAGGCCAAAAACGCCAUCUAUGAGAAUGCAAACUUCCAGGGAUCCUCCAAAGAAUUAGCCAGUGACACUGCCAAUCUGAAAGAUGUGCAUUGGAAUGGCCGUCUCCUCAGUAAAAGUAAUAGAACAGCUUUGGGUGGCUUAUGAGCACUUCAGCUAUGCAGGCCAGGUAUUGGUAUUUGAGGAGGGGCAACAUAGAUUUGCUGGUGAACAGUGAAAUGACAAGAUCACUUUCCUGCACAUGAUCUGCAGAUCUGCAGAUCAGUCUAUGAACAUGCUCAGUAUUGAGGGAAGAGUAGGGUGAUAACAGAAACAACCAGCCUGGGUUGGGGACAUGCCACUGACAUUGUCACCAAGUCCAGAGAGGUGCACAGCCGUUGUAUGAACACAGAGACGUGAUUUAUGCUAGAUUGCAUGAGAAUAUGAACACCUUCCAUGUUACAACACAAUUUCAAUGACAAGCUUCCAUUUAUACAUCUACUUCUGCCACAGGCAGAUUAAGUAGCUGGUGUGCCAAGCAGUGACAGAGGCUAUAACCACCGAAAGCAAGCAAGGUAUCCCAGCAAGCCUAUCUUCACCACUUCCAUGGACAUCACUGGAUACAAAGGACACCUUUCAUGGGUCAAAUAGGCAAAUGGGAUGAGGACAAGGAGGGCGCUGAAGAAACUUUGUGUGUUGCACACCACAGAUGUGCUCUGAGGACCACCCACUGCUCAGCGUUCCUUCAGGAUUGUGACUGUGUUUCUAUUCUUUACCUCCAAAAGAAUACACUAAAAACUACAUGACAGACUAAGUUUCAAUAUAAUUUGAAUUAUUAAUUUCAUUUGCAUAUGAAAUAUGCAAGGCUUUAUUACAGAUGUAGGCUCACUGUUUCAGGAACUGUUUUGACAUGUACAGGCUUAUCUGGAGAAUUUGGAGUUGCAGUUCCAAAUGACACUGCUAAAUGGCAUCUGCACUCUGAGCCAUACUGUAGAAGUUGUUGUGCAGCUCUGCAUUUUAAAUCUCAUCCGUCUCAGUGCUGAGAUCCUGCUCUUGCAUUCAUAGCUGGACACAGAGCCUAUAAGCAUGCAGGGUGAUCGGCUGCUGGGCUUUGACCUGUUUAAAAACAAACACAGCAGGAUCUUUUGACGUGUCAGCACUCUGUGGUCCUUUCCAAGGCUCCUGGAGGUAGAUGCAAAGAUGACAAUUCAGGCUUCAUGUGGUAUAGGACACUUCUUACUAAUAUGUGCUCAAUUUCUGAUUUUCUUGCUUUAUUCAUCACAGGUCUUCUAAAAGGGUUUCAAGAUUCAAGUGAGAGAACUCUGAGUAUCGUCCUUACUAUAGACCAAAAUAACUAGGACAGUAUGAAGCCAGCUGUGCCAAAAGGAAGAAGUGUUACCAUGAGACAGAGGGGAAGGAUCUAACAUUGGUGUGUUCAAAUGCAGACUGUGGCAGUGGUGCGAGUGUACUGUGCAUGGUGUUCUCAGCCUGCUCAGUAAGGCAGAUCAGUCUGGCUGUAUCAUCACUGUUAGGUUUCUUCCAGAGGGCCUAAGCACAACACUUCGUGCAAUAUAUAAGAAAACUGCAGAACAUCAAUGCAUGUAAUGUUUUUAAUCCUGUUACUAAUGUAACUUUCCAUUAUUAAUACCUUUUGGAGUAACAAAUCUAGGUGGCUGAGGUCAUCAUCUUCUGUCCAAAC